AGUGAACGCUGGCGGUAGGCCUAACACAUGCAAGUCGAACGGCAGCACAGUAAGAGCUUGCUCUUACGGGUGGCGAGUGGCGGACGGGUGAGGAAUACAUCGGAAUCUACUUUUUCGUGGGGGACAACGUAGGGAAACUUACGCUAAUACCGCAUACGACCUACGGGUGAAAGCAGGGGAUCUUCGGACCUUGCGCGAUUGAAUGAGCCGAUGUCGGAUUAGCUAGUUGGCGGGGUAAAGGCCCACCAAGGCGACGAACCGUAGCUGGUCUGAGAGGAUGAUCAGCCACACUGGAACUGAGACACGGUCCAGACUCCUACGGGAGGCAGCAGUGGGGAAUAUUGGACAAAGGGCGCAAGCCUGAUCCAGCCAUACCGCGUGGGUGAAGAAGGCCUUCGGGUUGUAAAGCCCUUUUGUUGGGAAAGAAAAGCAGCAGGUUAAUACCCCGCUGUUCUGACGGUACCCAAAGAAUAAGCACCGGCUAACUUCGUG
This 492-nucleotide ribosomal RNA is filed under the name uncultured bacterium. RNAcentral's name for it is "partial 16S ribosomal RNA". It matches the Rfam family "Bacterial small subunit ribosomal RNA", at positions 29 to 507 of the family's 1533-position model. The record is from RNAcentral.